AUCAAUAUAAUCAAAUUUUGAGUUUAUUUGUUAAAACGAAUGUAGAGUUUGUCAAAGAAAUAGAAAUGUAAACUAAAUUGUGAGGGAAAAUGUAAAAUAUUUAUAUAAUAAAUAACACCAAAGUACAAGAAGGAUAUAACCUAAUAGCACAAGACAUAGACAUUAUAAUUUAAAAUAAAAUAAUUCUCCUUGAGAUAAUACAAAAUUAUUUUUCAACUUUUCUUUACGCACUCACAUCUAGAAGAAAUGCAUUUCCGUUUUAAUGGUCUGGAACACACUUUGUGUAAACAAUCAUGGUCAGUUUGGCAAGGGGAAGGAAUAUCUACAAUGUCAAACAAAACAAAAACAUUGUUACAAACAAGUGAUUCAAUAGUAAGCAUAUGUUAUUAUAAAAAAGAAUUUGAAAAUGGUGUGAAGAAAUGGCCUACAAGGGUGGGGUGAUAUACGCCAUUCGGUUUUGACUUUUACAAAAAACAAACAAAGAGAUACUAUUAAAUAAUAAACACACUUGGAAAUUUGAAUCAUAUUUUUUUCUCCUUUAGUUUAAUAAUUUUAAGUUUUUUUGAUUAAUUUAUAAGUAAAAACCCA
This 588-nucleotide long non-coding RNA is filed under the name Lathyrus oleraceus (garden pea). Its description in RNAcentral is "Pisum sativum (pea) long non-coding RNA (PSAT_LNC020337)". The record is from RNAcentral. Lineage: Eukaryota; Viridiplantae; Streptophyta; Magnoliopsida; Fabales; Fabaceae.